Molecule: microRNA precursor, 196 nt
Organism: Oryza rufipogon (brownbeard rice)
Lineage: Eukaryota; Viridiplantae; Streptophyta; Magnoliopsida; Poales; Poaceae
Rfam family: MIR812 microRNA precursor family
Source: Rfam
AAAGGUUGUAGUUUUCAAGGUUUAUGUUCAACGUUUGAUCAUCUGUCUUAUUUGAAAAAAAUUAUGAUUAGUAUUUUUAUUGUUAUUAGAUGAUAAAACAUGAAUAAUACUUUAUGUGUGACUAUUUUUUUAAAAAAAACUUUAAAUAAAGUGGACGGUUAAACGUUGAACACGAAAACUGAUAAUUGCCCUUAAA